The sequence is a transfer RNA, 91 nucleotides long. It matches the Rfam family "tRNA". Rfam says of the family: Transfer RNA (tRNA) molecules are approximately 80 nucleotides in length. Their secondary structure includes four short double-helical elements and three loops (D, anti-codon, and T loops). Further hydrogen bonds mediate the characteristic L-shaped molecular structure. tRNAs have two regions of fundamental functional importance: the anti-codon, which is responsible for specific mRNA codon recognition, and the 3' end, to which the tRNAs corresponding amino acid is attached (by aminoacyl-tRNA synthetases). tRNAs cope with the degeneracy of the genetic code in two manners: having more than one tRNA (with a specific anti-codon) for a particular amino acid; and 'wobble' base-pairing, i.e. permitting non-standard base-pairing at the 3rd anti-codon position.
GGAGGGAUACCGAAGCGGUCAUAACGGGGCGGUCUUGAAAACCGUUAGAGGCAAACACCUCACAGGGGUUCGAAUCCCCUUCCCUCCGCCA